This 77-nucleotide transfer RNA is filed under the name Acidimicrobiaceae bacterium. RNAcentral describes it as "tRNA-Thr". It matches the Rfam family "tRNA". From Rfam's summary of the family: Transfer RNA (tRNA) molecules are approximately 80 nucleotides in length. Their secondary structure includes four short double-helical elements and three loops (D, anti-codon, and T loops). Lineage: Bacteria; Bacillati; Actinomycetota; Acidimicrobiia; Acidimicrobiales; Acidimicrobiaceae. The record is from RNAcentral.
GCCCGGGUAGCUCAGUUGGUCAGAGCAGGCGCCUUGUAAGCGUCAGGUCGUCGGUUCGAAUCCGACCUCGGGCUCAA